AGCAGCUUCAAAGGUAGAAAAAGACUGAUAAACCAUACUUUGGAUGCCACAAAAGAUGAUUUGUGUCUAUAGAUCAAUAAUCAUUAAGUUUUAUCCUAGAAGUAGAACAAGUGAACAUGUCAUUCUACAAGAAUUGCAGAACCUUAAAAUCUAACUCUGGAAAAUUCACUUUUCUGCAUUAGAGGCAGAGGGAAAAAAGUUCACUUCAUUUACCUUUUUCUGGGUAGAUUCUGGAGAUUUUUGUGCUGAUACAACUUGAUCAGACAGAUCAGUACACCUCUAUGACUGAUACAAAGACAUUUUAUUGCUUUCAGACUUUCAUGUAAUAUACCUAUACCUUCCAAGUUCCAAUUACUCUCUUUCAGCUCAGCUCACUUUUCAAGUAUAUAUGUUCUUGCUCAUGCCACUCUCUGCAGGAAUUGCUGCUUAUUCUAUCAUGUUAUGCUUAAAGUUGCAAGGUCUCUUGCCCACUCUCUGCUGCAUUUAGUCCUUUUUCAAUUCCAUUUUGUGUUCGACUUUCGUCUUCUUUACCUUUGCCCAAGCAAGAAGUGAUUUCAGUUUGUCAUUCCUGAAAUUCGUCAUAAAUUAGAUUCUGAAACCACGCAGAAUGCAAGAGCUUGUAAGAUGAAAAUUGCUCAUAGCAUUUACUUUGCAUUACUUCAAAGUAUUUCCGGAUUGAAGAAUGCUUACUGUUCGCGUUCAGCUUUUCCACGAGUAUCUUCAUGGACUUUGAGUUUAUUGGAGGACGAACGACUUGGUUUUCUAUUUGAAUAAGUCUUCUCUAGUCCCUCAUGAUUCUGUUUCAGUGGCUGUCUCAUGAAGGUUUCACCUCCAUUUUUUGUUUUCUUGGAUGAGAAUCUCCUGGUCACUUCACUUGAAUGCGGUGGUUUAGCUGUGGCAUCUUUUUUUUUGUUCCAAUUCUUAUUCUUUAAGGUUUCAGCUUCUUCAAGUGACUGAAUGGCAAAUGCAGCUGCUGCUACUGCAGCUGUAAAUCCAUUGUAAAUGGAAUCUUGAUCUUGCUUCAUUUGGCUGCCACUCUGCCUUCGCAACCAAUUCAUGCUAUCUACAAAUGUAAAUCAUAAAAAAUUUUCCCAUAUUGUUUUUCAUAUGUUUUGCUUCACGAUUAACCAGAAAACAACUCCAAAUUAAGUUCCUUUCACCGAACAUUGUAAGGUGAUACAUAGGAAUAGCAUGCUUGAGAACAAAUGUAAGAUACAGCAAUACUGUUUAAGAAGCUGCAUAACUCAAAUUUAGCAUACACAAAAUGUAUCACUCUAUUCCAUCGUGUAAUUUAGUUCAGACUAAUUAUGUGUGAUUUACCGGUGAUCAUGUUUAUUUAUUUAUUUAUUUUUAUCAUUUAUUGGAUUGUGAAAACUAUGACCCAUACAUUUAGCAUUCCAAGUGUUAUAUUUUGUGGCUUGAAAUUUGGAUAUAUUUAUUCAUGGACCCGAAUUGUGAUCUGAUUCAAAAGUUUCACGUUGCGACGCAUUGGGAUAUUAUGGAAACACACUGGUGUUAGGAUUAGGGUUUGAGAGCUAUGAUUGAUUGUAUCUUGGUCUUUUCAUCGUAGUGAAACUUUUUUCUAUUGUUUUGCUUGUGUUCGUAAACCUUACGGUUGUGUUAUUAUUCAUCUCUUUUUUAUACCGUGUGAUUGUGCGAUUUGUGUGUAUGCCUUAGAUUUGCUUGCUAGUUAUAACACUAAGCAUAGCCAAUGAAUCUAACAAAUUCUGAUGUAUUAUUCAGCUAAUCAAAUCUCAAUCCUGUAAGUUGCUAAACACAUUUAUAAUGUAAAAUAAACCAAACUUGUAAAAUAUAAGAAAAGGAAACUUGGGAUUAGAGAAUACUACUUUGCCUUAUCAAAUACUUCAAUGUUUAGUCUCCUCUACCAAUCCUGCCUGGUUUUCCUGCUUUCCACAAGAAGAAACUCUGUGAACACAAAAAUAAGUUGGAGAGAAAGAUGCUAUAAGUAGAUAGAAAUCUGGAUGAAGAACUUGUGAUAAUUUAUAGCGUUCAGCUCUUGAAAAUGAACAGGUUCAGGCAAGAGAAGACGCCGCUUGACAUUCUGUUAUCCUAAGAUUCUUUACUUUCUCUUUCUUACAGAGGAUACACCCACCGAUUUGUUGAUA
RNAcentral lists this unclassified non-coding RNA (2126 nucleotides) under Hevea brasiliensis (rubber tree). Lineage: Eukaryota; Viridiplantae; Streptophyta; Magnoliopsida; Malpighiales; Euphorbiaceae. The record is from RNAcentral.